Molecule: non-coding RNA, 887 nt
Organism: Benincasa hispida (wax gourd)
Lineage: Eukaryota; Viridiplantae; Streptophyta; Magnoliopsida; Cucurbitales; Cucurbitaceae
Source: RefSeq, a predicted model, not a curated record
UUAUUUUUUAUUUUCUUAUCCCUUUCCCCUUUCUUCUUCUUCCCUCACGCAACCCUCCUCCAUCUUGUUUUGCUUCUCUUCACGCCACCAACGCCACAGCAAUCACUGCCACCAUCCGACGAGCGGAAGCACCGUCGAGUUUGCCAGAUUUGAAGCUGUUCACCGUGUCACUUCCCUCAGACACCGAUCAACCCUCAUCCGUCAGCCGCGACCAUCUGCUCUAGCCCAUCGCGAGCAUCUGUCGCCCACGCCGUUAACGCGAGCCUCCUGUCAUACGUCCGCUUAGAUCUGAAGCCUGGCUGUUUGCGAACCUGUCCAAUACCGCCCGAAGUCACUGCAUCACUUUCUUUUUUACGUCCUCUGUCCAACCACUACUUAAGCAUCGUUCACUCUUGCCAGCACCGGAUCUAUCGAUUUGGGUAAGAUUGUGCUAUUUUAAUUGGAUUGUUUGGCCAAUGGUGUUUUGCUUCAAUCUAUUGAUAUAAAUUUGUUUGGGCUUUAAAAUCGAGCUUUGGAGAAGUUUUGAAGUUAAAAGUGUGCUGUCAAGAAGAUUUGGAAGUGGUUUCGACAAGCUUUUGGGUAAGUUUUGGGGUCUUUGUUGAUCAUUUUUGGAUACCCACUAAGUAAUGGCUUAUUUAUUAUUUCAGUUGUGAUAUAAAAGGUUGGAAUUAAAGGUUCAAAGUAGCUAGGUUGGAUUUGUGAUUAGAGUUAUUGAGAUGUAUUGAUUUUGUAGCAUGAGGUGAUGUACGUGCCAACACACUUUGGGCCUGAUUCAAGAUUCAUCUAAGUUAGGAGGAAUAUUAAUGCUUGUCGCUAAGACAUAAUUUUGAGAUUCACCAGAUCGUGUUUCCUUCGAGAUUCAUCAGAUAUUGUGUUUCCUUCGGGAU